Molecule: ribosomal RNA, 460 nt
Filed under: uncultured bacterium
Lineage: Bacteria
Description: partial 16S ribosomal RNA
Rfam family: Bacterial small subunit ribosomal RNA
Source: RNAcentral
CCUACGGGUGGCAGCAGUGAGGAAUAUUGGUCAAUGGACGCAAGUCUGAACCAGCCAUGCCGCGUGCAGGAAGACGGCUCUAUGAGUUGUAAACUGCUUUUGUACGAGGGUAAACGCAGAUACGCGUAUCUGUCUGAAAGUAUCGUACGAAUAAGGAUCGGCUAACUCCGUGCCAGCAGCCGCGGUAAUACGGAGGAUUCCAGCGUUAUCCGGAUUUAUUGGGUGUAAAGGGUGCGUAGGGGGUCGGUUAAGUUAGAGGUGAAAGUCCGAGGCUCAACUUCGGAAUUGCAGUUGAUACUGGUCGGCUAGAGAGUAGUUGAGGUAGGCGGAAUGUGUGGUGUAGCGGUGAAAUGCUUAGAGAUCAUGCAGAACCCCGAUUGCGAAGGCAGCUUACCAAGCUACUUCUGACGUUGAGGCACGAAAGCGUGGGGAGCAAACAGGAUUAGAUACCCGAGUAGUC